CCUACGGGCGGCAGCAGUGGGGAAUAUUGCACAAUGGGGGAAACCCUGAUGCAGCGACGCCGCGUGAGUGAAGAAGUAUCUCGGUAUGUAAAGCUCUAUCAGCAGGGGAGCAGCAAGACGGUACCUGACUAAGAAGCCCCGGCUAACUACGUGCCAGCAGCCGCGGUAAUACGUCGGGGGCACGCGUGAUCCGGAUUUACUGGGUGUAAUGGGAGUGUAGACGGUAUGGUAAGUCUGAAGUGAAAGCCCAGGGCUUAACCCCGGGACUGCUUUGGAAACUGUUGGACUAGAGUGCUGGAGAGGUAAGUGGAAUGCGUAGUGUAGCGGUGAAAUGCGUAGAUAUUAGGAGGAACACCAGUGGCGAAGGCGGCUUACUGGACAGUAACUGACGUUGAGGCUCGAAAGUGUGGGUAUCAAACAGGAUUAGAUACCCGUGUAGUC
RNAcentral lists this ribosomal RNA (441 nucleotides) under uncultured bacterium. Its description in RNAcentral is "partial 16S ribosomal RNA". It matches the Rfam family "Bacterial small subunit ribosomal RNA", at positions 338 to 795 of the family's 1533-position model. The record is from RNAcentral.